GACUUUUUAAAUUUGAACUCUAAUUGGUGUUGAAUUUAAAUUUCUUAUAAAAUUUUCUUAUUUGUUGGUAAAAUAAUGAUAUUUGUUUCUAUGUAUUUGAAUUUAUAAUAUUUGAUAAAAGAAACGGAUUAGUACCCGUGUAUUCAAAAUUUAAAAAGGCAGGAGUAAAGUUAUAUUUAAACUGAAAGGAUAUUGGCAGAUCUUUAAAUAAUCUUUGGAGGUUGAGUAGUAAUUGAGAACCCCCAUUUUUAGCUUUUAUUUUAGGUUCAUGUAUGAUCGUUUAUUUAAUUUUUAAGAAUUGCGAUAAAAAAUAUUUAAUUAUAAAAACAGAUAAAUACUUGGUAUAUUAUAAAAGAUUUAAUUUGACCUACAUUAUAUAGUUUUGUGGAUUUUAAAGAUAGAUUUUAAAUGAAAAUGUAAAAGACAGUAAGAUUAAUUUAAUAGUAAUCUGAAGUUUAUUUAGAGAU
RNAcentral lists this ribosomal RNA (467 nucleotides) under Megalobatrachonema wangi. RNAcentral's name for it is "partial 12S small subunit ribosomal RNA". Lineage: Eukaryota; Metazoa; Nematoda; Chromadorea; Rhabditida; Kathlaniidae. The record is from RNAcentral.